This 274-nucleotide long non-coding RNA is filed under the name Elaeis guineensis (African oil palm). RNAcentral describes it as "long non-coding RNA (EGUI_LNC033366)". Lineage: Eukaryota; Viridiplantae; Streptophyta; Magnoliopsida; Arecales; Arecaceae. The record is from RNAcentral.
CUCAGGGAGUCUUUUGCUUUCUUUUGGGCACCAAGCCUUGAGAGGCUCGAGGCUUCAUCUACAUGUAGAGAUCAACAGAGAAUUUGAUCAUCUGAUUGGAUUGUCAUGCACCAUGUGAGGCUUCCGAAGCUACUUUCAAGGAUACCAUUAUUGGGGUUGUGCAUCGUUCGACACAGCAUCUGCUCUAGCCUCUCCUUCUCUAGGUCGAUCGAUAAUUUUAUCCUUUAGACAACAUUAUAAAAUAGAAUGUUAGAUAGGUUUUCAUUAUAUAUGG